This is a long non-coding RNA of Cygnus olor (mute swan), 728 nucleotides long. RefSeq lists it as uncharacterized. The transcript has 3 exons. The record is from RefSeq and is a predicted model, not a curated record. Lineage: Eukaryota; Metazoa; Chordata; Aves; Anseriformes; Anatidae.
GUCGCAGGGCAGCCCCGGGGCCCGGCCGCAGCCCCUGCCCCUGCCCGGGCAGAGCGGGCCGAAGGGCGAUUUACGGACAACGGCAGUAAUACCGGUCCCCCGCGGGGCUUCACGCGGUCAGCACCUCCCGUCAUCAGGCGCUGAUGCGGGGGUCGGUUCCUGCGGUGGAUGAGCUAACCUCAGCCGCCGGGAGGAAAAAAACAACAUACAGCAGCGCUACCGGGGGAUUACCAUUUGGGCUGAACAUUAUCCUAGGCUGCAGCAGAAGGACUUUUCCUGUGUUUGCCUUCAUACCGCAUCCAGAGCCCUCAGCACUACAAAUGUGAGCUUCUGGCAUAGAAGGAAGACCAAGGAGGAAGUAUGGGGGCCCAUACACUAACCAGUUCAGCACUCCAGCGAAUGCUACAUCCUCAGGAAGAAACCAUGGCCUCUCCACAGAAGCGCACCAGCUUUUUCAGAAAAAGGACAAUUCUCUUAAGGAAGUGAAACUGAAGCCUUCUGUCAGAAAGCUGCAGACAGAGAGGAACACAUCAUUAUAAUGCUGAUAGAGCAUCAAGUAAGACUACUGAAGGAAAUAUCAUCAGUUGUCCUCUGGGCAUUCUUUUUAUAUUCGAUGGACCAGAACAUUGUCACAGGAUAAUGGUUGUCUGCCGCCUUGCCCCUAUUAAAUUAAAUUAAAUAUUUGAUUGGAACUUUCCUACUUGCUCUCUGUAGAAAUAAAAAAUGAU